GGCGAGUUGGCGGAGUGGUUACGCAGCGGUCUGCAAAACCGUGGACACCGGUUCGAUUCCGGUACUCGCCUCCA
RNAcentral lists this transfer RNA (74 nucleotides) under Paracoccaceae bacterium. RNAcentral describes it as "Rhodobacteraceae bacterium tRNA-Cys". It matches the Rfam family "tRNA". From Rfam's summary of the family: Transfer RNA (tRNA) molecules are approximately 80 nucleotides in length. Their secondary structure includes four short double-helical elements and three loops (D, anti-codon, and T loops). Lineage: Bacteria; Pseudomonadati; Pseudomonadota; Alphaproteobacteria; Rhodobacterales; Paracoccaceae. The record is from RNAcentral.